Molecule: long non-coding RNA, 290 nt
Filed under: Mus musculus (house mouse)
Lineage: Eukaryota; Metazoa; Chordata; Mammalia; Rodentia; Muridae
Description: RIKEN cDNA E130307A14 gene
Source: RNAcentral
GCCGCGGAGAGGAUAUUUUUUGUUUUGUUUUGUUUUCACAAGUGUGGAAUGCAUCAGUUAAAAUCUCAAGAAACCCCGAGGCAGAGGAUUAAGAGAUACUGAAGAGAAGAUGAGUCUGUGUGCAUUUAUCUGUGCUUAGCCUGCUCCGAAUGGGAACUCAGCUCUCAAAUGAAGAUGCACCAAGACUCAACACCUAGACCCACGAGAGUAGAUGCUCAGGAAAGAUUUGCUGACUGAACACAUGAUUGUGUCUACGCCUAGCAGUACUUUGUUGCGGGAUGGGCCCUGGC